This 424-nucleotide ribosomal RNA is filed under the name uncultured Prevotella sp. Its description in RNAcentral is "bacterial SSU rRNA". It matches the Rfam family "Bacterial small subunit ribosomal RNA", at positions 355 to 776 of the family's 1533-position model. Lineage: Bacteria; Pseudomonadati; Bacteroidota; Bacteroidia; Bacteroidales; Prevotellaceae. The record is from RNAcentral.
UGAGGAAUAUUGGUCAAUGGGCGAGAGCCUGAACCAGCCAAGUAGCGUGCAGGAAGACGGCCCUAUGGGUUGUAAACUGCUUUUAUAAGGGAAUAAAGUGAGUCUCGUGAGACUUUUUGCAUGUACCUUAUGAAUAAGGACCGGCUAAUUCCGUGCCAGCAGCCGCGGUAAUACGGAAGGUCCGGGCGUUAUCCGGAUUUAUUGGGUUUAAAGGGAGCGUAGGCCGGAGAUUAAGCGUGUUGUGAAAUGUAGGCGCUCAACGUCUGCACUGCAGCGCGAACUGUUUUCCUUGAGUACGCACAAAGUGGGCGGAAUUCGUGGUGUAGCGGUGAAAUGCUUAGAUAUCACGAAGAACUCCGAUUGCGAAGGCAGCUCACUGGAGCGCAACUGACGCUGAAGCUCGAAAGUGCGGGUAUCGAACAGG